Molecule: ribosomal RNA, 496 nt
Filed under: uncultured bacterium
Lineage: Bacteria
Description: partial 16S ribosomal RNA
Rfam family: Bacterial small subunit ribosomal RNA
Source: RNAcentral
GAUGAACGCUGGCGGCGUGCCUAAUACAUGCAAGUCGAGCGAACAGACGAGGAGCUUGCUCCUCUGACGUUAGUGGCGGACGGGUGAGUAACACGUGGAUAACCUACCUAUAAGACUGGGAUAACUUCGGGAAACCGGAGCUAAUACCGGAUAAUAUAUUGAACCGCAUGGUUCAAUAGUGAAAGACGGUUUUGCUGUCACUUAUAGAUGGAUCCGCGCCGCAUUAGCUAGUUGGUAAGGUAACGGCUUACCAAGGCAACGAUGCGUAGCCGACCUGAGAGGGUGAUCGGCCACACUGGAACUGAGACACGGUCCAGACUCCUACGGGAGGCAGCAGUAGGGAAUCUUCCGCAGAGGGCGAAAGCCUGACGGAGCAACGCCGCGUGAGUGAUGAAGGUCUUCGGAUCGUAAAACUCUGUUAGUAGGGAAGAACAAAUGUGUAAGUAACUAUGCACGUCUUGACGGUACCUAAUCAGAAAGCCACGGCUAACUACGU